Molecule: ribosomal RNA, 292 nt
Filed under: uncultured bacterium
Lineage: Bacteria
Description: partial 16S ribosomal RNA
Rfam family: Bacterial small subunit ribosomal RNA
Source: RNAcentral
GUGUCAGCCGCCGCGGUAAUACGUAGGGUGCGAGCGUUAAUCGGAAUUACUGGGCGUAAAGCGUGCGCAGGCGGUUCGUUGUGUUUGUCGUGAAAGCCCCGGGCUCAACCUGGGAAUGGCGAUGAAAACUGGCGAGCUGGAGUGUGGCAGAGGGGGGUGGAAUUCCAGGUGUAGCAGUGAAAUGCGUAGAGAUCUGGAGGAACACCGAUGGCGAAGGCAGCCCCCUGGGCUGACACUGACGCUCAGGCACGAAAGCGUGGGGAGCAAACAGGAUUAGAUACCCCCGUAGUCC